Molecule: ribosomal RNA, 253 nt
Filed under: uncultured bacterium
Lineage: Bacteria
Description: partial 16S ribosomal RNA
Rfam family: Bacterial small subunit ribosomal RNA
Source: RNAcentral
UACGUAGGGUGCGAGCGUUGUCCGGAAUUACUGGGCGUAAAGAGCUCGUAGGCGGUUUGUCGCGUUGUUCGUGAAAACCUGAGGCUUAACCUUGGGCGUGCGGGCGAUACGGGCAGACUGGAGUACUGCAGGGGAGACUGGAAUUCCUGGUGUAGCGGUGGAAUGCGCAGAUAUCAGGAGGAACACCGGUGGCGAAGGCGGGUCUCUGGGCAGUAACUGACGCUGAGGAGCGAAAGCGUGGGGAGCGAACAGG